UGGUUCAAAAGUGAAAGACGGUCUUGCUGUCACUUAUAGAUGGAUCCGCGCUGCAUUAGCUAGUUGGUAAGGUAACGGCUUACCAAGGCAACGAUGCAUAGCCGACCUGAGAGGGUGAUCGGCCACACUGGAACUGAGACACGGUCCAGACUCCUACGGGAGGCAGCAGUAGGGAAUCUUCCGCAAUGGGCGAAAGCCUGACGGAGCAACGCCGCGUGAGUGAUGAAGGUCUUCGGAUCGUAAAACUCUGUUAUUAGGGAAGAACAUAUGUGUAAGUAACUGUGCACAUCUUGACGGUACCAAUCAGAAAGCCACGGCUAACUACGUGCCAGCAGCCGCGGUAAUACGUAGGUGGCAAGCGUUAUCCGGAAUUAUUGGGCGUAAAGCGCGCGUAGGCGGUUUUUUAAGUCUGAUGUGAAAGCCCACGGCUCAACCGUGGAGGGUCAUUGGAAACUGGAAAACUUGAGUGCAGAAGAGGAAAGUGGAAUUCCAUGUGUAGCGGUGAAAUGCGCAGAGAUAUGGAGGAACACCAGUGGCGAAGGCGACUUUCUGGUCUGUAACUGACGCUGAUGUGCGAAAGCGUGGGGAUCAAACAGGAUUAGAUACCCUGGUAGUCCACGCCGUAAACGAUGAGUGCUAAGUGUUAGGGGGUUUCCGCCCCUUAGUGCUGCAGCUAACGCAUUAAGCA
This 688-nucleotide ribosomal RNA is filed under the name Staphylococcus aureus. Its description in RNAcentral is "bacterial SSU rRNA". It matches the Rfam family "Bacterial small subunit ribosomal RNA", at positions 190 to 866 of the family's 1533-position model. Lineage: Bacteria; Bacillati; Bacillota; Bacilli; Caryophanales; Staphylococcaceae. The record is from RNAcentral.